GGCAGCGUGGCCUAAUGGAAAGAGCCCGGGCCUGGGAGUCCAAAGGCCCUGGGUUCUAAUCCCGGCUCUGCCA
This 73-nucleotide transfer RNA is filed under the name Ornithorhynchus anatinus (platypus). It matches the Rfam family "tRNA". From Rfam's summary of the family: Transfer RNA (tRNA) molecules are approximately 80 nucleotides in length. Their secondary structure includes four short double-helical elements and three loops (D, anti-codon, and T loops). Further hydrogen bonds mediate the characteristic L-shaped molecular structure. tRNAs have two regions of fundamental functional importance: the anti-codon, which is responsible for specific mRNA codon recognition, and the 3' end, to which the tRNAs corresponding amino acid is attached (by aminoacyl-tRNA synthetases). tRNAs cope with the degeneracy of the genetic code in two manners: having more than one tRNA (with a specific anti-codon) for a particular amino acid; and 'wobble' base-pairing, i.e. permitting non-standard base-pairing at the 3rd anti-codon position. The record is from Rfam by way of RNAcentral. Lineage: Eukaryota; Metazoa; Chordata; Mammalia; Monotremata; Ornithorhynchidae.